RNAcentral lists this ribosomal RNA (402 nucleotides) under uncultured bacterium. RNAcentral describes it as "bacterial SSU rRNA". It matches the Rfam family "Bacterial small subunit ribosomal RNA", at positions 356 to 775 of the family's 1533-position model. The record is from RNAcentral.
GAGGAAUAUUGCACAAUGGGCGCAAGCUGAUGCAGCAACGCCGCGUGAGGGACGAAGGCCUUCGGGUUGUAAACCUCUUUUCUGAGGGACGAGGAAGGACGGUACCUCAGGAAUAAGUCUCGGCUAACUACGUGCCAGCAGCCGCGGUAAAACGUAGGAGGCGAGCGUUAUCCGGAUUUACUGGGCGUAAAGCGCGCGCAGGUGGCUUCGUGAGUCGGACAUGAAAGCUCCUGGCUUAACUGGGAGAGGCUGUUCGAUACUGCGGGGCUUGAGGUUGGGAGAGGGACGCGGAAUUCCCGGUGUAGUGGUGGAAUGCGUAGAUAUCGGGAGGAACACCAGUGGCGCAAGCGGCGUCCUGGCCCACACCUGACGCUGAGGUGCGAAAGCGUGGGUAGCAAACAG